GGUGGGGGUGCUGGGUUGGAGAAUGUGACAGAGGACAAGAAUAGAAUACAGUUAUAGAACUGGAAUUCGCUUUUUCAUGCUAAUUUCCCUGAAUACGUUCCAGAGGACAAGGACUGUGUUGUUCAUCACAGUAUUCCAGAACUUAAAAGGAACUGGCACAUAAUUGGAGCUUACUAAUAUUCGUCAAAAAAAUGAACAAAUGAGGCAAUGACAGUGGUCUUGUGAAGCUGCUGCUAUUUACAGGGACUCACUCAUUCCGCAAGUAUUUUUUGCACCUCCUACCACACUCCACUCAGUUACAUGCUGGGAAUACCACAGUAAAGACUGGAGUGGCGUCUCACUGCUUCUAGAAGAUUGGAACUAUUACUGACUUGGUAUUCAUAUGGACCAAAGGUACCUCCUGUUGGACAUUCCUUAGGCCUGUCACAUAUGGUCCAAGAAAGCAGUAAGAUGGAAAAGAGAGACCAGCUAAGAGCUACUCCAAAUGCCCACACCAUCAGAUGAUCAUCCCAAGUGUCAGAGAUAUCUGUGAAUCAAGUGCUCAAAGCUACACACAUUGGGAGUGCUCUAAAAUUCCUAUCAAUACAGUUAUUCUUUUUCCCAGAACCAGAAGAGGCUCUCUUGAUGUAAUCUUAGAUACCAGGGAAUAUAAUGUUCAACCCAGGGAAAAAAAAGAGAGAACACCUAACCCAUCCCUACUUAUAUUUCCAGCAGUGGAGACUCACAGUCUUCCUCAUCAUCCAUCCUCCCUGUAAUCUACCUGAACCUCAAGUCUCUGAAUAAGCUUAUCUCACAUGUGACUUAGCUGUUGCUUUUUAUAGCAUGAACUAUUCAGCCUCCUACUAAGACCAUCUUUUCCAGAGAGGCUGAAUGGGUCUCAGUCUCUACUAAGGAAGCUCACAUCCUUCAGGAGCUUACCCAAAACAACAGUCACAUAUUUAGGCAUGCUGGCUUGUACAGCUCAGGUCAGCCAGAAAGGCCACAGCAGCUGCUGACCAUUAUACCACAUGUGAGCACUAACGGGGAUCAAUGAGUCAAGCCUUGAAAGGGCAGAACAGAAGGAAAGAAGUUACCAUUGGCCCUUGGAUCACCAGCAACUAGCUCGAAAGAGUCUGCCUAAUGAGGACUGCAUCCAGCCAUAACGAGCACCUAGUCUUUGAAGCCUGUGGCAUCCAGACAGUAUCACUUCCUACUUGACUGCUUUCAGGGGGCCUUCCACACAGCCACCCCUUACACUACACCCAUCUCCAAGGCUGAAGAGAAGACCUAGUGCACACUAUCUUGAGAGGCUUAGCCACACAUUUCAGUCCCCGUCCACAUCCACCCUCCCCCUGCCCCUGACAGCUCAAAUAUUCAGUCUCCACAUGUGUCUAUGUGCCUGUGUGUCUGUGUUUUAUUUAUACUACCCAUGUCUGUUGUUAGCAACAGAAACAAAGUACUUUAAGGCAGAAAAGGCAAGUCUGCCAAUUGGCUUGCUGCUCCCCGCCUGCUUCCAGCUCAGGGAAGGGCUGGUAAAUGAUCCCUCCAGCUCCAAUCUACCAUGUGUGCCUACAGCUCCCACGUACCCGGGGGCUGGGAGGCAUGGUGCCAGUUUGGCCCACAUUAGUCACUGCUGCAUGGGGUGCCGGCCAUCACCUCUCUCUCUUCUUCCCUGGAGGGCACACCCUGAACACCUGAUUCUGUCACCUGCCUAAAUGCUGAUUACUGUCGAAAGGCAGAGCUUCAGAAGCCAGAAUUCAAGAAACCCAUGGUAAAGAUGAAAGGGCAGUUCCUCCCCAGACUCAAGACUCUGGAGAACUAGCCCAGGCUAAGUUCUACUUUCACGUCUUUCCAUUCCCACUUCAGUUUUUCUGCUACUGAUAAUCUUCCAAGUUCCAAUAGCAGGCUCCCUAAUAACAUUGACAGUAAUUAUUGAUCACCACUUUGUUUUAGCUGAGAGAACAAAACAUGAGAUGUGAUUCUUACAUGUGGGGAGCUCACAGACGAAUGUAGGGCACUGAGACACAACAGCAAACGAUGCAAGUGUGGGACACAAACUAGAAAGACAGGACAAUGGAGUGGUGGAGGGGACAGAGCAGCUCUGGACGGGGCUUCUGUGGGAGAGGAAAUGUGAGCCAGACUGUAAAGGACAAACAGUAGCUGGACAGAAUGAGACAGAAGACUGUUUGAGAUGAAGAAUGAGACUAUGACUCAAGGUCCCAAGGCAGAGAGAGUGGCAAAUAUCACACCCAUAGCGUUUUUCUCACAUUCAACUGAGGCUCAGCCCUAGCAGGUAUGGAGGAAGGAAAGUGGUGUGACUUGGUAAAAACAGAACCCUCCCCUCUGGGUUACCAUGCUCUCCAGCCUCUCUGCACCUACCUCUGCCAAAAGCAUGCUCGGGGUUUCCUUUUUCUUUCUUUUCUUUCUUUCUUUCUUUCUUUUUUUUUUUUUUUGAGACG
This 2438-nucleotide long non-coding RNA is filed under the name Homo sapiens (human). RNAcentral's name for it is "HSALNT0361250". The record is from RNAcentral. Lineage: Eukaryota; Metazoa; Chordata; Mammalia; Primates; Hominidae.